This 292-nucleotide ribosomal RNA is filed under the name uncultured bacterium. RNAcentral describes it as "partial 16S ribosomal RNA". The record is from RNAcentral.
GGACUACUGGGGUUUCUAAUCCUGUUUGCUACCCACGCUUUCGUGCCUCAGCGUCAGUUUUAUGCCAGGGCGCUGCCUUCGCCAUCGGUAUUCCUCCAAAUCUCUACGCAUUUCACUGCUACACUUGGAAUUCUACACCCCUCUCACAAACUCUAGGAAUACAGUCUUAAAUGCACGACCAAGGUUAAGCCCUGGCUUUUCACAUCUAACUUAUAUUCCCGCCUACGCACCCUUUACGCCCAAUUAUUCCGAUUAACGCUCGCACCCUACGUAUUACCGCGGCUGCUGGCAC